This 406-nucleotide ribosomal RNA is filed under the name uncultured bacterium. RNAcentral describes it as "partial 16S ribosomal RNA". It matches the Rfam family "Bacterial small subunit ribosomal RNA", at positions 30 to 526 of the family's 1533-position model. The record is from RNAcentral.
AUUGAACGCUGGCGGCAGGCCUAACACAUGCAAGUCGAACGAGUGGCGGACGGGUGAGUAAUGUCUGGGAAACUGCCUGAUGGAGGGGGAUAACUACUGGUAACGGUAGCUAAUACCGCAUACCAUCGGAUGUGCCCAGAUGGGAUUAGCUAGGAGGUGGGGUAAAGGCUCACCUAGGCGACGAUCCCUAGCUGGUCUGAGAGGAUGACCAGCCACACUGGAACUGAGACAAGGUCCGGACUACUACCGGAGGCAGCAGUGGGGAAUAUUGUACAAUGGACGCAGGCCUAAUGCAACCAUGCCGCGUGUAUGAAGAAGGCCUUCGGGUUGUAAAGUACUUUCAGCGGGGAGGCGUUACCCGCAGAAGAAGCACCGGCUAACUCCGUGCCAGCCGCCGCGGUAAUUC